RNAcentral lists this ribosomal RNA (453 nucleotides) under uncultured bacterium. Its description in RNAcentral is "bacterial SSU rRNA". It matches the Rfam family "Bacterial small subunit ribosomal RNA", at positions 29 to 506 of the family's 1533-position model. The record is from RNAcentral.
ACGAACGCUGGCGGCGCGCCUUACGCAUGCAAGUCGAACGCCCCGGUUCGCCGGGGAGUGGCAGACGGCUGAGUAACGCGUAGGUAACCUGUCCCACAGUGGGGGAUAACCCGCCGAAAGGUGGGCUAAUACCGCAUUCGAUCCCGUGGUGAGAUACCGCGGGAGGAAAGCCGCAAGGCGCUGAGGGAGGGGCCUGCGUCCUAUCAGGUAGUUGGUGAGGUAACGGCUCACCAAGCCGACGACGGGUAGCUGGUCUGAGAGGACGACCAGCCAGACGGGGACUGAGACACGGCCCCGACUCCUACGGGAGGCAGCAGCGAGGAAUCUUGGGCAAUGGGCGAAAGCCUGACCCAGCGACGCCGCGUGGGGGAAGAAGGCCUUCGGGUCGUAAACCCCUUUUGUCGGGGAAGAAGCUCUGACGGUACCCGGCGAAUAAGCCACGGCUAACUACGU